RNAcentral lists this ribosomal RNA (326 nucleotides) under uncultured eukaryote. RNAcentral describes it as "partial 18S ribosomal RNA". It matches the Rfam family "Eukaryotic small subunit ribosomal RNA", at positions 1470 to 1796 of the family's 1831-position model. The record is from RNAcentral.
CCCUUAGAUGUUCUGGGCCGCACGCGCGCUACACUGAAGGGAUCAGCGUGUUUUCCCUUCCCGAGAGGGACGGGUAACCCGCUGAACCCCCUUCGUGGUAGGGAUCGGAGCUUGCAAUUGUUCUCCGUGAACCAGGAAUUCCCAGUAAGCGCAAGUCAUAAGCUUGCGUUGAUUGCGUCCCUGCCCUUUGUACACACCGCCCGUCGCUACUACCGAUUGAACGUUUUAGUGAGGUAUUUGGACUGGGCCUUGGGAGGUUUCGGCCUCCCUUGUUGCUCGGAAAGACUCCCAAACUUGAGCGUUUAGAGGAAGUAAAAGUCGUAACA